Molecule: non-coding RNA, 202 nt
Organism: Oryza glumipatula
Lineage: Eukaryota; Viridiplantae; Streptophyta; Magnoliopsida; Poales; Poaceae
Source: Rfam
AAAAAGACAAACCCUGGGUUUCUGUUGUCCAACAUUUGACUGUCCGUCUUAUAUGAAAUUUUUUUAUAAUUAGUAUUUUCAUUGUUGUUAGAUGAUAAAACAUGAUUAAUAUUUUAUUCGUGACCUGUCUUUUUAAUUUUUUUUUCAUAAUUUUUUCAAAUAAGACGGACAGUCGACACGGAAACCCAGGGUUUAUCUUUUU